CGAAGUAGGCCUGCGCCGAAAAUUACCGGGGCUAAACUAUAUACCGAAGCUUUGGAUUUGUAUACAGAAGUAUAUGAGUGGUAGAGGAGCGUUGUGUACGGGAAGAAGUCAUACCGAGAGGAGUGGUGGACUGUACACAAGAGAGAAUGCUGGAAUAAGUAGCGAGAGCACAGUGAGAAUCUGUGCCACCGAAAACCUAAGGUUUCCUGGGGAAGGUUCGUCCGCCCAGGGUAAGUCGGGGCCUAAGAUGAGGCUGAGAAGCGUAGUCGAUGGGAAGCAGGUAAAAGAUUCCUGCACUACAAAUACGUGAUGAAGAGUUAAUGACGCAUGCUAAGAAGAUAAGCGAGCAAAUGGAAAAGUUCGUAUCGAAAGAUGGAGUGAAAAAAAGUAGCGAAGUAUCAGGAGAGUGUGACAAGAAAAGUUAACGUGGAGCGUAGGAGUACUCGUACCGUAAACCGACACAGGUAGGAAGAAAGAGAAUUUUCAGGUGAGCGAGAUAAAUAUUGUUAAGGAACUCGGCAAAUUAACCCCGUAACUUAGGGAUAAGGGGAGCCAACGAGAGUUGGUCGCAGUGAAAAGGCCCAAGCAACUGUUUAACAAAAACAUAGGUUUCUGCGAAAUCGAAAGAUGAAGUAUAGGAGCUGACGCCUGCCCAGUGCUGGAAGGUUAAGGGAAAGGGUUAGGAGUAAUCCGAAGCCUAGAACUAAAGCCCCAGUGAACGGCGGCCGUAACUAUAACGGUCCUAAGGUAGCGAAAUUCCUUGUCAGGUAAGUUCUGACCCGCACGAAAGGCGUAAUGAUUUGGGCACUGUCUCAACAAUAUUCUCGGCGAAAUUGUAGUACUAGUGAAGAUGCUAGUUACCUGUGAUAAGACAGAAAGACCCCAUGGAGCUUUACUGUAGCUUGAUAUUGAGACUAGGUAGAGGAUGUACAGGAUAGGUGGGAGACGAAGAGACAUGCACGCAAGUGUAUGAGGAGUCAACGUUGGGAUACCACCCUUCAACUAUUUGGAAUCUAACUAAUCGCCGUAAUCCGGAGAUAGGACAGUGUCAGGUGGGCAGUUUGACUGGGGCGGUCGCCUCCUAAAGAGUAACGGAGGCGUUCAAAGGUCAGCUUAGCACGGUCAGAAAUCGUGUGGAAAGUAUAAAGGUAGAAGCUGGCUUGAAUGUAAGAGUGACAACUCGAGCAAACGCGAAAGCGGGACUUAGUGACCCGAUGGUAGUGAGUGGAAAUGCCAGAGCUCAACGGAUAAAAGUUACCCUGGGGAUAACAGGCUUAUCUCCCCCGAGAGUCCAUAUCGACGGGGAGGUUUGGCACCUCGAUGUCGGCUCAUCGCAUCCUGGAGCGGAAGUACGUUCCAAGGGUUGGGCUGUUCGCCCAUUAAAGCGGUACGCGAGCUGGGUUCAGAACGUCGUGAGACAGUUCGGUCCUUAUCUAUCACAGGCGUAAGAUAUUUGAGAGGAGUUGCCCCUAGUACGAGAGGACCGGGGUGAAGUAACCGAUGGUGCACCAGUUGUAACACCAGAUGCAUAGCUGGGUAGCCAAGUUACGAAGGGAUAAACGCUGAAAGCAUCUAAGUGUGAAGCCCACCCUAAGAUAAGAUAUCCCAUACCGCAAGGUAGU
This 1622-nucleotide ribosomal RNA is filed under the name human gut metagenome. RNAcentral describes it as "bacterial LSU rRNA". It matches the Rfam family "Bacterial large subunit ribosomal RNA", at positions 1149 to 2829 of the family's 2925-position model. The record is from RNAcentral.